Daphnia pulex (common water flea) is the source of this 384-nucleotide long non-coding RNA. RefSeq lists it as uncharacterized. NCBI's taxonomy places the organism in Eukaryota, Metazoa, Arthropoda, Branchiopoda, Diplostraca, Daphniidae. The record is from RefSeq and is a predicted model, not a curated record. The transcript has 3 exons.
CUUAACUGUUCAGAAGGCAACCCAGCUAAGAGCUCCCAUUUGAUAAAGCAUCAGGAAAUGUAUCCCACCCGAGGAGUAAUGCAGUUGGUUGCUGUAAUUCCAUUAUUACGGUUUUUCAUCAUGAACAUUUCAGUGUGCUUCUUAGAAAAGAGCAUGCAAGAUCCCCUCAGCGCACAGGCAUCCUUGAGCCAAUGCUGGAUUUUGUCCAUGAGAGCAGAGGGACUUCCACCAACGUUCUGCUCCCUCCUUAUCUUCAAGACUCAUCCUGCUUCAGUACUUCUUAUGCUGCUAGUUCUCCUAAACAACUUUUCAUGCUUCACUGGCGAGUUGGAUCACUUCAGUUGCUGUGACACACCUGAAUGCAGUCACUCACCACGGGAUUAU